This 3476-nucleotide long non-coding RNA is filed under the name Ooceraea biroi (clonal raider ant). RNAcentral's name for it is "uncharacterized LOC105277216". The record is from RNAcentral. Lineage: Eukaryota; Metazoa; Arthropoda; Insecta; Hymenoptera; Formicidae.
GCAGAUGGCGCUAUUCGUGCAUUGCACAAGUGUCAAGCAGGAUUUGUUUUAGACACUACACGCGGAGUUAAGCUCGAGUAUAGAUUAAGAUGCGAGCGGAUACUAUCUGCAGGGUCAAGUUUAUUAACGAGUGCACGUGGUGAGCGGUGUGCCGGUAUUAUUUAUUAGAUAAUUGCUGCUUAGGAUCGCGUGAGGCUGAAAUAUCACUUUGUUGCUUUAUUUGCGCGCCUAUACUUUGAUCUGUAAUAAUUGACAAUUACGUUUAUGUAAUGCGCUGCUGGUAUAUCUAAAAUCUCGAGAAUGAUAAUUGAUCACGAUGAUUAUCGCAUGAUUUAUAAACACAGCUUGUUGCUAAUUAUUAAUUUUUCAAGUUUACGUAUCGCUGUAUGUAAAUUAGGCAUUUGUGAGAUUGGAAGAUAAAAGAAUAAAAAUGCUUGGAAUUAUAAUGGUUGAAGGAUAGGAAGAAUACUAAAGCAUGUGGUUUCAAUUAUUUCCGCAGUUCUCCGCGUUUUAUGCACGUAAAAUUGAUAUUGUACUGCAUGUGUGUGAGGAAACGUUUUUGCAAAAAUUUCCGGAACUGCGAAAUUAAAAUUUCUCUCUUCGUCUCUUUUCACGUUCUUACUAAGUAUCUAGUGAAAAAUGAUAUAGAGUUAGACACAUUAUAAUUAAUAUAUUCCGAGAGACAAUAAAAGAUAAGGUGAAGAUUGAUAAUGUACUUAUUACGGUAAAAUGUAGUUAUUAAAAAAUAAAAUGAAAAGCUAAACUAUUUUGGAAACGUACACUCGCUGAUUUGAAAAAUUAUACUCAGUUAUUCAGUUACAAAACUCUCUUUUCCAGACAGACAUUGUUUAAUUAAUGAUAUUUUUUGGGACGAAGUUUGAUCAAUUAUCGGGAAUAUAAUAAAUGAGAGAGUCGCGAAUCCAGUUGUAGAUGUUAGAAAGGAGAAAAACAAAAUGCUUAAUUCACAUAGCAAAGUGCAUCAGAUAUUUAUGCCGAAGCUGCUGUAAGCAGGAUAUUGCAAACCAGUUAUUAAAAGCACUUUACACGAGCGCGACUCUCUAUCUUUCUUCACUUUUUGAUCAAAUCUACCUCAUGCAAAUGAAUCAUUUACACGGUUUUUUAUUAUCUCAACAGAUUUUCGUACUCUUCGUGAAAUCAACCUUUAUUCAAAAUCCCUUGCUCCUUUGCGCGACAAAUAUGCAAGUAUAUGAUGUAUCAAAUAUUGAUUACAUCAUUAGGAUAAUCCGAAAGACGUUUAUCGAAUGGUUAAAUAAAUUGAAUAAUCUAGGAGAUAUAUGAAUAAUCUGAGAUGGUUUAUAACUUAGCAAAACAUGAUCACGCUCAAAUUUUUUGAACGUGUGACAUGAUCGAAUCACACCUUUUAUAUACCCCCUAACAAUAUAAAAUAAAAAUCAAAUGAUAAAUGCCAUUAGCGUGAUAAAUAUCAAUGUUAAGAAAUAUUUUCUCCUCUUUCCUCUAUAAUGAUUUUACAUUUUAUGUUUUAAGCACGUAUUUAGAAAUCCAAAACCAAAUGUUGUUAAAAUAAUGUUACACCGUAAUAAUUAUACACGUAAUAAUUAUAACUUGAUAUAUAAUUUUGCAGCUUGUCAUUCUUGCGAUUUCAAAAAGUUUCUAUAAUAUUUAUACUAUAUCGUCAGCUCUUUGAAUUAACAUUAUUAACAUAUGCGUAUUGAUGUGCAAAUAACUGUGGGAGGUUUCGCGUGCGGUCGAAAUGUGUGCCUAAGAAGGUGAGAUUUAACAAAUUGACCAAUAAGUGAAAUUACUGGCACAGAAAGAGGACUUCUCUCGACUUCCUUUAUGAAGCUAGAAACGACUUCGUCGCAUUAUAAAAAUGUGAUCGAAAUAGCGAGUGGUAAUUGCGAUGGUAUUACACCGCACCUUCUGCGGAUUGCGCAACGAUAUUAGGCGCUCGAUCGGCAGCAAGAUUUCGCCAAUCGGCGAACAUAAUUGAUACGUGAUGCGGUGUCACUCUCGCAUCGUUGCAUCUGGAAUACACAUGAAAAAGAAAUGAUCGCGCGGACGAGCGAUCGGAAAAAAAGAGAAAAUCUCGAUGAUCGCCGUCACGGUGCGGCUUAAUUUGACGCGGCGCAACGCACGCGAGCAGCUGAAUUUAUUCGACGUGCUCCGUCGUGAAAAUCCGUUAAAGUGUCAUAAGUGUCCGCGAGCCGCAACGAACACGGCAAUCGCGCCGGGCUGACGUUAUUAAAUGUGAUUGCGCAACCAGCACGAGAAGCGGUUCCAAAGGACGCGAGCAUUAUGACACCGUGGCAUGUAACGUGGCCUCUAUGGAGCUCGCUACGUCACGCCUGCGGAGUGCCUGCGGUUUUGUAUUACAUGUAAUACGCCUGCACACGAUCGUCAGGAGCGUACUUCGAUCGGAACCCUUUCCCGGAACGUCGCUCGUCGAUCUUUCUGCGUCGCGCUUGUGACCGCUACGAUCUCUAGAUGAUCCAUGAUUAGCCGGAGAUCCCUAUCAACCUGGAACCCUAUCAACCUGGAGCUUAUUACUCCUCCAUAUAAUCGCACGGACCCGCCUCUUUUUAAAUUAACUUUUUAGAUUAACGUUAAUUGUAAAUUCCCUAAUGCAUACGCCAGGCUUGUAUGCAAUACGUACCCUUUGAUCUCUAUCGUCUUAUCAUCGUCUUGUUCACAAGCCGCAAUAACGUAACGCGGCUUGCCAGUGCUAAAAAACCGUGACCGUAUGUAACACUUGAGAGUUUGUCUACUAAAAUGAUGAUAGAUGUACUUGGAAAAUUAUGUAGAUUUAUUGCAAAAUAGUAAUGGUGUGUCAUUAUUUCGUAUUUUUAUUAUCGACGUAUUACUAUAUAUCUUACCUUAUUUUAUUGUAUGUAUGUACAUAUUAUUAUUCAAAAAGUCUUGUGGAACAUGCUCUUUGUUUAAAAUUACAGUUAUUCGAGUAACAGAAACAUCCGCAUUGUGUUAUUGCUAUGAUCGAGGUAGCCUAUGGGCACGUUUAUUAAUAAGGCAAUCCGGUAGCGAUUAUUUUUCCAUUGAAGCAGGAACGAACAGUCACAACGUAUCUCAUAGAUACCUUUGUUUAAUUAAUUAAAUUGUCAAUUUCCUGUUUUAUUGCCUUGUACUGAUAGAUGCCACGUUGCAUACACAACUAGCAGUUUAAAAAAUACGUACUUCCUGCUUACCCGCAUUCUUACACGAACGUCUUGCCUACCGUUCAUGGAAAUAAUUCUUACCUCGAAUUUUUUUAUUUGCGAUGGACAUCUACUCAUCGCAGUAAGGUCGAUUAGCAUGGUAUUGCGUAAUACACAUUGUUAUUCGAUUGAUAUCUCAUUGCACAAAAUGCAGCGGCUGCCUCCUGUUACUUUGUAACACUUUCAUCACAGCAAAUUUAAUUCCAAAUCGCACAAGAUAUCUAUCUUGUAAUAUGUUGAAUAAAUUUAUAUUUAUGCGUCUAAAUAAAAAAAUAUCACAGAAAA